Molecule: long non-coding RNA, 978 nt
Filed under: Homo sapiens (human)
Lineage: Eukaryota; Metazoa; Chordata; Mammalia; Primates; Hominidae
Description: PREDICTED lncRNA (TCONS_00017980)
Source: RNAcentral
GACACGCCGCCCACCGCAGCCCCAGCCUCUCGCGUGGGGCCUCUGCCCGCACACACGCAGCCAGGCACUGCUUCUAAUGUGAGGAAAAACACGGAAUGACAAGUGUGGGAAAGAGCAAGCACUAAAUUACUGUCAGAAAAAUAAACGGAGUAGCACAGUGCUGCUCGGUGAUUUACGGGGGCAAUUAGUCACCACCCCACGGCGCUGCUGAGGACAGCACGGCAGCAGACAAGUCAGGCCCAUGAGGAAGAAGAGGCUUUGCACUGCUCUCCAGACAACUUUUCAAACAACAAGAGAGGAUAUUUGAGCACAUUAGGUUUUGUGUCUUCAUUCUGGCCGUGUGAAGAUGUGCCUGCUUCGCCUUCCAUCAUGACUGAAGUUUCCUGAGGCCUCCCCAGCUAUGCUCCCUAUACAGCCUGCAGAACGGUCGGCUGCCUCCAAUCCUGAGGUCAUCACUCAUCAAGAGGGGAUAAUCCCAGGGACAGCAGGAUCUGCUUCGUUACUUGGAUUUAGGAGCCAGAAACCCAUCAGGCAACUAAACAGUAACAAUGACCCGCCAUUAAACACACUGAGAGAAGAGCAUGAUGAAGAGUUUGUACAAGAAGAAGCCAGGAGCACUUGCUGACAAUGCUUACAGAGACGCAGGCUUCUAUGAGCUCUGCCUGUUGAACUGCAGUAAAAAUAGAUCUCCUUCCCCAGAGAGGCUUGGAUGUGGGCACAAUAUCAGUUCAGACGAUGGUCAAUGCAUGUACUUAAUAGAGUGAAAAGACUUUGGACUGUGAAGUCAGAUUACCUGGGUCUGAAUUGUUAUUCUUCUACUUCUUUGUAGUAUGCUUUCACCACAUUAAAAAUUGUCUGAGCCUCAAUUUUUUUAUCUGCAAAAUGGAGCUAAUACCUACACAGGGGCUUUUAAGAGAAUCAAAUGCAACAAUGUUUGAAAAGCAACAUACUCCCCUUUAUGGAAAAAGAGCCUGUAAA